Molecule: long non-coding RNA, 383 nt
Organism: Ornithodoros turicata
Lineage: Eukaryota; Metazoa; Arthropoda; Arachnida; Ixodida; Argasidae
Exons: 3
Source: RefSeq, a predicted model, not a curated record
UCUUGUGUGUGUGUGCGAGUGGUUGCUGUUUACGAUGUGUUCAUAUAUCGCUUUGUAGUGCUGUAAUGUGCAAAUUAGCGGACUUUAUAGCGGCUCUCUAUUUUCCGUCGUUGUCUUUCGAGCAGCGCCUGUUGUUCCGGUAAAAAUCGAGUUGAAUGAAUCGCCACAGCCCCAACGUAUAUCGCGCAGUGUUGACCAAGACCAAGUCAAGCAGGAAUUCUGGCAUGGUAUGUGGCUGCACGAAGGAUUCCGGAAAAGAAAAACAACAACAUGGCUAAUAGGAUGUUGCUGCCCAGGGAGUCCUGGCGAAGAGGUUUACUCAUUCCAGAAGCAAGAAUUGUAUCAUUGUAAGGCGAAUGGAAAUAAACUGACAUCGACUGAGA